Molecule: ribosomal RNA, 750 nt
Filed under: uncultured bacterium
Lineage: Bacteria
Description: bacterial SSU rRNA
Rfam family: Bacterial small subunit ribosomal RNA
Source: RNAcentral
GAGGCGGCUAAUACUGCAGUCGAGCGAGCUUGCCUAGAUGAUUUUAGUGCUUGCACUAAAUGAAACUAGAUACAAGCGAGCGGCGGACGGGUGAGUAACACGUGGGUAACCUGCCCAAGAGACUGGGAUAACACCUGGAAACAGAUGCUAAUACCGGAUAACAACACUAGACGCAUGUCUAGAGUUUGAAAGAUGGUUCUGCUAUCACUCUUGGAUGGACCUGCGGUGCAUUAGCUAGUUGGUAAGGUAACGGCUUACCAAGGCAAUGAUGCAUAGCCGAGUUGAGAGACUGAUCGGCCACAUUGGGACUGAGACACGGCCCAAACUCCUACGGGAGGCAGCAGUAGGGAAUCUUCCACAAUGGACGAAAGUCUGAUGGAGCAACGCCGCGUGAGUGAAGAAGGGUUUCGGCUCGUAAAGCUCUGUUGGUAGUGAAGAAAGAUAGAGGUAGUAACUGGCCUUUAUUUGACGGUAAUUACUUAGAAAGUCACGGCUAACUACGUGCCAGCAGCCGCGGUAAUACGUAGGUGGCAAGCGUUGUCCGGAUUUAUUGGGCGUAAAGCGAGUGCAGGCGGUUCAAUAAGUCUGAUGUGAAAGCCUUCGGCUCAACCGGAGAAUUGCAUCAGAAACUAUUGAACUUGAGUGCGGAAGAGGAGAGUGGAACUCCAUGUGUAGCGGUGGAAUGCGUAGAUAUAUGGAAGAACACCAGUGGCGAAGGCGGCUCUCUGGUCUGCAACUGACGCUGAGACU